RNAcentral lists this ribosomal RNA (230 nucleotides) under uncultured bacterium. RNAcentral's name for it is "partial 16S ribosomal RNA". It matches the Rfam family "Bacterial small subunit ribosomal RNA", at positions 15 to 228 of the family's 1533-position model. The record is from RNAcentral.
GAUCCUGGCUCAGGACGAACGCUGGCGGCGUGCUUAACACAUGCAAGUCGAACGAGAAUCUGUGGAUCGAGGAUUCGUCCAAGUGAAGCAGAGGACAGUGGCGGACGGGUGAGUAACGCGUGAGGAACCUGCCUUUCAGAGGGGGACAACAGUUGGAAACGACUGCUAAUACCGCAUGAUACAUUUGGGUGGCAUCAUCUGAAUGUCAAAGAUUUAUCGCUGAAAGAUGG